CACGGUCCAGCAGAAGCGGCUUCAACAGGACGAUCACGUAUCCCAGACAUUGCCCCUCCAUAAACCUGUCGCAUCCCUCACAGCAUCCACUUCCUGGAGGACCCAAGUGGCCCAGAG
Molecule: long non-coding RNA, 117 nt
Filed under: Mustela putorius furo (domestic ferret)
Lineage: Eukaryota; Metazoa; Chordata; Mammalia; Carnivora; Mustelidae
Description: lncRNA (ENSMPUG00000028298.1)
Source: RNAcentral